UACAUAGGUGGCAAGCGUUAUCCGGAAUAACUGGGCGUAAAGGGAGUGUAGGUGGUACUGUAAGUUAAAUGUGAAAGACCUGGGCUUAACCGAGGAACUGCAUUUAAGACUGCAGAACUAGAGUGCGAGAGAGGUAAGCGGAAUUCCUAGUGUAGCGGUAGAAUGCGUAGAGAUUAGGAAGAACACCAGAGGCGAAGGCGGCUUACUGGUUCGUAACUGACACUGAGGCUCGAAAGCGUGGGGAGCAAAC
RNAcentral lists this ribosomal RNA (250 nucleotides) under uncultured prokaryote. RNAcentral describes it as "partial 16S ribosomal RNA". It matches the Rfam family "Bacterial small subunit ribosomal RNA", at positions 524 to 773 of the family's 1533-position model. The record is from RNAcentral.